RNAcentral lists this transfer RNA (70 nucleotides) under Dipodomys ordii (Ord's kangaroo rat). It matches the Rfam family "tRNA". Rfam says of the family: Transfer RNA (tRNA) molecules are approximately 80 nucleotides in length. Their secondary structure includes four short double-helical elements and three loops (D, anti-codon, and T loops). Further hydrogen bonds mediate the characteristic L-shaped molecular structure. tRNAs have two regions of fundamental functional importance: the anti-codon, which is responsible for specific mRNA codon recognition, and the 3' end, to which the tRNAs corresponding amino acid is attached (by aminoacyl-tRNA synthetases). tRNAs cope with the degeneracy of the genetic code in two manners: having more than one tRNA (with a specific anti-codon) for a particular amino acid; and 'wobble' base-pairing, i.e. permitting non-standard base-pairing at the 3rd anti-codon position. The record is from Rfam by way of RNAcentral. Lineage: Eukaryota; Metazoa; Chordata; Mammalia; Rodentia; Heteromyidae.
AGGAAUGUGGCUUAGUGGUAGAGCGCUUGCCUAGUAUGCAUGAAGCACUGGGUUCAAUUCCUCAGUCCCA